RNAcentral lists this transfer RNA (72 nucleotides) under Ictidomys tridecemlineatus (thirteen-lined ground squirrel). RNAcentral describes it as "Spermophilus tridecemlineatus (thirteen-lined ground squirrel) tRNA". It matches the Rfam family "tRNA". Rfam says of the family: Transfer RNA (tRNA) molecules are approximately 80 nucleotides in length. Their secondary structure includes four short double-helical elements and three loops (D, anti-codon, and T loops). Lineage: Eukaryota; Metazoa; Chordata; Mammalia; Rodentia; Sciuridae. The record is from Rfam by way of RNAcentral.
GGGGCUGUGGCUCAGAGGUAGAGCGUUCGCCUGGCACGACGUGUGAGGCACUGGGUUUGAUCCUCAGCCCCA